Molecule: non-coding RNA, 48 nt
Filed under: Schistosoma bovis
Lineage: Eukaryota; Metazoa; Platyhelminthes; Trematoda; Strigeidida; Schistosomatidae
Also listed under: 1 other name
Source: RNAcentral
AUUCAGCUGACGAGUCUCAAAUAGGACGAAACAUGUAUCAAAUUGGAU